RNAcentral lists this ribosomal RNA (99 nucleotides) under uncultured bacterium. RNAcentral's name for it is "partial 16S ribosomal RNA". It matches the Rfam family "Bacterial small subunit ribosomal RNA", at positions 1384 to 1482 of the family's 1533-position model. The record is from RNAcentral.
UACACACCGCCCGUCACACCAUGGGAGUUGGCUUUACCCGAAGACGGUGCGCUAACCGCAAGGAGGCAGCCGGCCACGGUAAGGUCAGCGACUGAGGUG